This 272-nucleotide ribosomal RNA is filed under the name uncultured bacterium. RNAcentral's name for it is "partial 16S ribosomal RNA". The record is from RNAcentral.
CUGCUGCCUUCCGUAGGAGUUUGGACCGUGUCUCAGUUCCAAUGUGGGGGACCUUCCUCUCAGAACCCCUACGCAUCGUCGGCUUGGUGGGCCGUUGCCCCACCAACUACCUAAUGCGCCGCAUGCCCAUCCGUGACCGGGGUCGCCCCCUUUGGCCGGCAGGGAUGUCCCCUCCCGGCAUUAUGUUGUAUUAGGCGGGAUUUCUCCCGGUUAUCCAUCUGUCACGGCCAGGUUGCAUACGUGUUACUCACCCGUGCGCCGGUCGCCGGCGG